CACACGAGGUGCGGAGGGUGGUCACACGGGCUCCGGUCCAGACCAUCCGUCCUGGCAUGGCUUGAGGAGCGGUGCGAGGUCCACACUCAGGAUGUGAACCUUUUUUCAAUUCUCCUGUGCAUCUCCCUGGCUUGGGCGGCUCCUUGUGACUGUGCCCGAGGCCUCUGUCACAGGCCUGCCAUCACCUGAGAUGGGACAGCCCCCCCUUGAGGAAAGCUGGGGUUAUAAGGAGGCUCGCUCCUGAUUAUUUUCACCUGGAUCAAGUGCCUAAAAUCAGGGGUUCAGGUGAGUGGAUGGCAGGUAAGCCUGUGGAUCAGGGUUCGUGAUGAGAACAGGUGGGGUCGGGGAGAAGGCCCACUGGUCUCCUCUCGGCUCUGAACCUCGCUGUGGGCGGGGAUGACCAGGGUUGGCAGAGGGUUGGGUGGCCAGUGUCUUGAAGGUCCCCGUAAGCUCUAAACACCAUGGCUCCAAAGUGGAGGUGCACACAGAGGGGCAUUUAAAAUUCUGUGUGUGCAGAAAAACAGAUAGGCGUGUGCACAUACACAUGAAGCACACAGCGGGAUGGGUUCUCACAAAGGGACCCUGCAAACGCUUCUGCUUUGAUACCUAAAACUUUUCUAUCUAAG
Molecule: long non-coding RNA, 626 nt
Filed under: Equus caballus (horse)
Lineage: Eukaryota; Metazoa; Chordata; Mammalia; Perissodactyla; Equidae
Description: lncRNA (ENSECAG00000038783.3)
Source: RNAcentral